CAAUAGCGUAUAUUAAAGUUGUUGCAGUUAAAAAGCUCGUAGUUGGAUUUGUGGUUCGUCCCGCCGGCUGGGUCAUUGACUUUUGCUGUGCUGGUCGUCCAUCCUUGGGUGGAAUCUGUGUGGCAUUAGGUUGUCGCGCAGGGGAUGCCCAUCGUUUACUGUGAAAAAAUUAGAGUGUUCAAAGCAGGCUUAUGCCGUUGAAUAUAUUAGCAUGGAAUAAUGAUAUAGGACCUUGGUACUAUUUUGUUGGUUUGCGCACUGAGGUAAUGAUUAAUAGGGACAGUUGGGGGUAUUCGUAUUCCAUUGUAAGAGGUGAAAUUCUUGGAUUUUUGGAAGACGAACUACUGCGAAAGCAUUUACCAAGGAUGUUUUCAUUA
RNAcentral lists this ribosomal RNA (377 nucleotides) under uncultured eukaryote. RNAcentral's name for it is "partial 18S ribosomal RNA". It matches the Rfam family "Eukaryotic small subunit ribosomal RNA", at positions 592 to 975 of the family's 1831-position model. The record is from RNAcentral.